RNAcentral lists this ribosomal RNA (256 nucleotides) under uncultured bacterium. RNAcentral describes it as "partial 16S ribosomal RNA". It matches the Rfam family "Bacterial small subunit ribosomal RNA", at positions 524 to 776 of the family's 1533-position model. The record is from RNAcentral.
GACGUAGGGCGCAAGCGUUGUCCGGAUUUAUUGGGCGUAAAGAGCUCGUAGGCGGUUUGUCGCGUCUGCUGUGAAAACCUCAGGCUCAACCCCGGACUUGCAGUGGGUACGGGCAGACUAGAGUGUGGUAGGGGGAGACUGGAAUUCCUGGUGUAGCGGUGAAAUGCGCAGAUAUCAGGAAGAACACCCGUGGCGGAAGGCGGCUCUCUGGGACGGUACUGGACGCUGAGACGCGAAAGCGUGGGGAGCGAACAGG